RNAcentral lists this ribosomal RNA (495 nucleotides) under uncultured bacterium. RNAcentral's name for it is "partial 16S ribosomal RNA". It matches the Rfam family "Bacterial small subunit ribosomal RNA", at positions 28 to 507 of the family's 1533-position model. The record is from RNAcentral.
GACGAACGCUGGCGGCGUGCCUAAUACAUGCAAGUAGAACGCUGAAGGAGGAGCUUGCUCUUCUGGAUGAGUUGCGAACGGGUGAGUAACGCGUAGGUAACCUGCCUGGUAGCGGGGGAUAACUAUUGGAAACGAUAGCUAAUACCGCAUAAGAGUAGAUGUUGCAUGGCAUUUGCUUAAAAGGUGCAAUUGCAUCACUACCAGAUGGACCUGCGUUGUAUUAGCUAGUUGGUGGGGUAACGGCUCACCAAGGCGACGAUACAUAGCCGACCUGAGAGGGUGAUCGGCCACACUGGGACUGAGACACGGCCCAGACUCCUACGGGAGGCAGCAGUAGGGAAUCUUCGGCAAUGGACGGAAGUCUGACCGAGCAACGCCGCGUGAGUGAAGAAGGUUUUCGGAUCGUAAAGCUCUGUUGUAAGAGAAGAACGAGUGUGAGAGUGGAAAGUUCACACUGUGACGGUAGCUUACCAGAAAGGGACGGCUAACUACGUG